GUGCCAUGAUGUUAAACUGUCAACACAUCAUUCUGAAGAAGAAUUGUGUGGAGACUUUGUAAACUGAGCCCC
Molecule: small nucleolar RNA, 72 nt
Filed under: Malurus elegans (Red-winged fairywren)
Lineage: Eukaryota; Metazoa; Chordata; Aves; Passeriformes; Maluridae
Also listed under: 2 other names
Description: Small nucleolar RNA SNORD63
Rfam family: Small nucleolar RNA SNORD63
About the family: snoRNA U63 is found in both humans and mice. U63 is a member of the C/D class of snoRNA which contain C (UGAUGA) and D (CUGA) box motifs.
Source: Rfam by way of RNAcentral